RNAcentral lists this ribosomal RNA (374 nucleotides) under uncultured organism. RNAcentral describes it as "partial 16S ribosomal RNA". It matches the Rfam family "Bacterial small subunit ribosomal RNA", at positions 527 to 896 of the family's 1533-position model. The record is from RNAcentral.
GUAGGUGGCAAGCGUUGUCCGGAAUUAUUGGGCGUAAAGCGCGCGCAGGCGGUUCUUUAAGUCUGAUGUGAAAGCCCACGGCUCAACCGUGGAGGGUCAUUGGAAACUGGAGAACUUGAGUACAGAAGAGGAAAGCGGAAUUCCACGUGUAGCGGUGAAAUGCGUAGAGAUGUGGAGGAACACCAGUGGCGAAGGCGGCUUUUCCGGUCUGUAACUGACGCUGAGGCGCGAAAGCGUGGGGAGCAAACAGGGAUUAGAUACCCUGGUAGUCCACGCCGUAAACGAUGAGUGCUAAGUGUUAGGGGGUUUCCCGCCCCUUAGUGCUGCAGCUAACGCAUUAAACACUCCGCCUGGGGAGUACGGCCGCAAGGCUG